Molecule: transfer RNA, 73 nt
Filed under: Stegodyphus mimosarum
Lineage: Eukaryota; Metazoa; Arthropoda; Arachnida; Araneae; Eresidae
Rfam family: tRNA
About the family: Transfer RNA (tRNA) molecules are approximately 80 nucleotides in length.
Source: Rfam by way of RNAcentral
GUCUUCGUGGUGUAGUGGCCAUCACACUCGGCAUGUAUUCAAGAGAUCCGUGGUUCGAGUCCUGGUGAGGGCA